Molecule: ribosomal RNA, 1679 nt
Filed under: Synchiropus altivelis
Lineage: Eukaryota; Metazoa; Chordata; Actinopteri; Syngnathiformes; Callionymidae
Description: Foetorepus altivelis 16S rRNA
Rfam family: Bacterial large subunit ribosomal RNA
Source: RNAcentral
GGUUUAACAACUAGCACACUGACAUAUUUUUAAAAUUAACUAUUUUUAACCCUAUCAUCAAUUGAAUAAGUGUAUAAACAAAUCAUUUUUCCGCCUUAGUAUGGGAGACAAAAAAGGCCUUAGAAGCGACAGAAAAAGUACCGCAAGGGAAAGUUGAAAAAGAAAUGAAAAAUUAAGCAACACCCCAAAAAGCAGAGCUUAGUUCUUGUACCUUUUGCAUCAUGUUUUAGUAAGCGUAAAUUAAGCAAAGCGAGCUGUAGUUUAAUUACCCGAAACCAAGCGAGCUACUCCGAGACAACCUUAUUGAAGGGUAAACCCGUCUCUGUGGCAAAAGAGUGGGAAGAGCUCCGAGUAGAAGCGAAAAACUUAUCGAGCUUGGUUAUAGCUGGUUGCCUGAGAAAUGGAUAACAGUUCAGCACUAUUAUUUCCUCUCCCUUUUACCCCUUUUACACUAAUUACAAACAGGCAUAGAAGAAGUAAUAGCAGUUAUUUUAAAGGGGUUCAGCCCUUUAAAAACAGAAUACAGCCCCCUUAGAAGGGUAAGGAUCAUAAACAACCUUAAGGUAUUAUAUUUAAGUGGGCUUAGAAGCAGCCACCCUUAGAAAGCGUUACAGCUCUUAUAUAAUUUUAAACCCUUAAUACUGAAAACAGUUCUCAACCCUCUUCAACUAUCAGGCUAUACUAUUUAAUAUAGUAAAAAUAAUGCUAGUAUGAGUAAUAAGGGGAAGCCCCCCUCCUUGCACAAGUGUAAGUCGGAGCGAACACCCGCCGACUCUUAACGCCUCCAAACAAAGAGGGCCUUGGGCCUAUCAUAAACAACUAGAAAACCGCCCAUAAAUAACCGUUAACCCCACACAGGUGUGCCCACAAGGAAAGACAAUAAAGGUUGGAAGGAACUCGGCAAACCCAAGCCUCGCCUGUUUACCAAAAACAUCGCCUCUUGUACUAAAAAUAAGAGGUCCCGCCUGCCCAGUGACUUUAUGUUUAACGGCCGCGGUAUUUUAACCGUGCAAAGGUAGCGUAAUAACUUGUCUUUUAAAUGAAGACUGGUAUGAAUGGCAUCACGAGGGCCUGACUGUCUCCCACCCUUAGUCAAUUAAAUUGAUCUCCCCGUGCAGAAGCUGGGAUACACACAUUAGACGAGAAGACCCUAUGGAGCUUUAGCCAAAUUAGGCUUAAGUUACUGCUUUUAAAUUAAAAACUGUGAACUAAUUAAACCCCUUAAAAUGUUUUUGGUUGGGGCGACCUUGGGAAAACAAGCAACUCCCAUGUCGAGAAAGAACUAAUCUUUCAAAACUAAGACAAACAAGUCCAGGUCACAGAACUUCUGACAUAAUGAUCCGGCCCGCCGAUUAACGAAACGAGUUACCCUAGGGAUAACAGCGCAAUCCUCUUUUAGAGCCCAUAUCGACAAGGGGGUUUACGACCUCGAUGUUGGAUCAGGACAUCCUAAUGGUGCAGCCGCUGUUAAGGGUUCGUUUGUUCAACGAUUAAAGUCCUACGUGAUCUGAGUUCAGACCGGAGUAAUCCAGGUCAGUUUCUAUCUAUGAUUACCGCUUUUUCUAGUACGAAAGGACCGAAAAGGCAAGGCCCAUUCUUUCAGUAUGCCUCCCCCCUUACCUGUUGAAAUAAAAUAAAAUAGAUAAAAGGGUUAACUAACCCGCCAUAAAUUAUGGCUU